This 1232-nucleotide ribosomal RNA is filed under the name Fictibacillus barbaricus. RNAcentral describes it as "bacterial SSU rRNA". It matches the Rfam family "Bacterial small subunit ribosomal RNA", at positions 100 to 1319 of the family's 1533-position model. Lineage: Bacteria; Bacillati; Bacillota; Bacilli; Caryophanales; Fictibacillaceae. The record is from RNAcentral.
GGACGGGUGAGUAACACGUGGGUAACCUGCCUGUAAGACGGGAAUAACUCCGGGAAACCGGAGCUAAUACCGGAUGAUAACAAGAAGCGCCUGCUUCUUUUUUGAAAGUCGGUUUCGGCUGACGCUUACAGAUGGGCCCGCGGCGCAUUAGCUAGUUGGUGAGGUAACGGCUCACCAAGGCGACGAUGCGUAGCCGACCUGAGAGGGUGAUCGGCCACACUGGGACUGAGACACGGCCCAGACUCCUACGGGAGGCAGCAGUAGGGAAUCUUCGGCAAUGGACGAAAGUCUGACCGAGCAACGCCGCGUGAGCGAUGAAGGCCUUCGGGUCGUAAAGCUCUGUUGUCAGAGAAGAACAAGUACCGGAGUAACUGCCGGUACCUUGACGGUACCUGACCAGAAAGCCACGGCUAACUACGUGCCAGCAGCCGCGGUAAUACGUAGGUGGCAAGCGUUAUCCGGAAUUAUUGGGCGUAAAGCGCGCGCAGGCGGUUUCUUAAGUCUGAUGUGAAAGCCCACGGCUCAACCGUGGAGGGUCAUUGGAAACUGGGAGACUUGAGUGCAGGAGAGAAAAGUGGAAUUCCACGUGUAGCGGUGAAAUGCGUAGAGAUGUGGAGGAACACCAGUGGCGAAGGCGGCUUUUUGGCCUGUAACUGACGCUGAGGCGCGAAAGCGUGGGGAGCAAACAGGAUUAGAUACCCUGGUAGUCCACGCCGUAAACGAUGAGUGCUAGGUGUUGGGGGGUUCCACCCUCAGUGCUGACGUUAACACAUUAAGCACUCCGCCUGGGGAGUACAGCCGCGACGCUGAAACUCAAAGGAAUUGACGGGGGCCCGCACAAGCAGUGGAGCAUGUGGUUUAAUUCGAAGCAACGCGAAGAACCUUACCAGGUCUUGACAUCCUCUGACCACUUGAGAGAUCAAGCUUUCCCCUUCGGGGGACAGAGUGACAGGUGGUGCAUGGUUGUCGUCAGCUCGUGUCGUGAGAUGUUGGGUUAAGUCCCGCAACGAGCGCAACCCUUGACCUUAGUUGCCAGCAUUCAGUUGGGCACUCUAAGGUGACUGCCGGUGACAAACCGGAGGAAGGUGGGGAUGACGUCAAAUCAUCAUGCCCCUUAUGACCUGGGCUACACACGUGCUACAAUGGGUGGUACAAAGGGUUGCGAAGCCGCGAGGCCGAGCCAAUCCCAAAAAGCCACUCUCAGUUCGGAAUGUAGAGUGCAACUCGCCAAC